UUACUUUCAUAUUUCACUAUAUUUACUGCCGCUGCGCAUUCAACCCCUACAGCCUACAGGGUGAAUGAACAUUUCUUCAAAACAGUAUUACGGCUCUGUUCUAUUCGUCUUCAUUUUAAGAAGAGUGGUUGCGGCUCGAGUGCCCGAGGCGCAAUAAUGUAUACUGGGCUGUACUGUUGGAAAAUAGGACGGUGAACCGAGAAAAUCUUGGUUACAAUUUUUCUAAUUUAACGUAACUGGAAUGCCGUAACAGCUAAACAUGAUAACUGUCAGUCAAGAAUAGCGCUACGCACAUCAGAUUUUAUGCAAGGCCCGGGGUAUCUACCAUGCCUUCCCAUUCCGGAAAACUAAGAUGUCAAGCUUAACUAGCGUGUAAAUUCACUGUCCAAACUGAUUUAAACUAAAAAUAACAAAUAAACAAAAUUUGCAAAGCUAAGCUAAAGCUAAAGUCAAAAAUUCAAUCGCAAUAUAUCUACUCCAUAUAUUGCUUUGGGUACCUUUCAUUAUUAAGUUCCACGUAGACCUCUAAUUAUGCCAGUAAUUAGUACUCGAAACUCGAAGCUGUCUAAUAUGUGAAUUAUUAAGUUAUAUAGCUACGAAUGAUAUUUCUACACAAUAAUUUUCGGAAUUCCUAUUCACAACUCACUUAGCCUAUGAAAUUUUGUGUCUACACAUACAUUUAAGUUCACGAACAAUAAUUAUCGACAACAGUUCACUCCUUAAUAAUUACUAACAGUCAUGAGUUCCCAUUCAAAUUUGAACCUUAUUCCUUAUUGUUAUAAAGAAUAGGAAUUAUUCAAGCCGUAUUAACGUUAAUUAUUACUAAACGUCGCAUGGGAAAAGACCAAACCAUAUUGUACAGUGAACUUCAUUUAAAUAGAUCAUAACGACAAAGUUUGACGAAAAUAUUAUAUUAUGAAAAUUAAUUUUAAGUAUGCAUCAGGGAUGUUAGGGACCUCCGUAACCGUAACCUAAUUUAUCGGAUAUCCGAUAUAAAAAAUAUUCGUAACCGUAACCGAAUCUGAAAUAAAAGUUUCUGAUAAUAU
Long non-coding RNA from Achroia grisella, 1046 nucleotides. RefSeq lists it as uncharacterized. The transcript has 3 exons. The record is from RefSeq and is a predicted model, not a curated record. NCBI's taxonomy places the organism in Eukaryota, Metazoa, Arthropoda, Insecta, Lepidoptera, Pyralidae.